RNAcentral lists this ribosomal RNA (253 nucleotides) under uncultured bacterium. RNAcentral's name for it is "partial 16S ribosomal RNA". It matches the Rfam family "Bacterial small subunit ribosomal RNA", at positions 524 to 776 of the family's 1533-position model. The record is from RNAcentral.
UACGGAGGGUGCAAGCAUUAAUCGGAUUUAUUGGGCGUAAAGGGCGCGUAGGCGGGGAUAUAAGUCAGAUGUGAAAUCCCGAGGCUCAACCUCGGAACAGCAUUUGAAACUGUAUUUCUUGAGGGUAGGCGGAGAAAACGGAAUUCCACAAGUAGCGGUGAAAUGCGUAGAUAUGUGGAAGAACACCGGUGGCGAAGGCGGUUUUCUAGCUUACUCCUGACGCUAAAGCGCGAAAGCAAGGGGAUCAAACAGG